GGCCCAUGCGAUGGCAUCCAGCCCGCGCGGCGACGGCCCCCCGACUGUGCCCCAAUAAUACAUGUGCUGCAUAUGCUUUAUUUCCACGGAUUGCCCAUGGUGAAGUGAGUGAGGAAAUUGGCCCACCCAAACUUACCAUGGCCAACUUGACUCUGCCGAGAACUUCAAAAGGGUUGCUGUCAAAUUCGAGAACCAGGUGUUCCAUGAGGCUAACAGUAAGGUAAUCUUUUUUACCCUCUGGAAAAUAGAGUUAAUAUCCAAUUUGAUCCUAAUACAGUAGGAUCAGAGUUAUUUUGGAAUGUGAAGUAAAGUCAGCCUGAAGAUUUAUCCUAUGACAACUUAACUGAAUACCUAAUUAAUAGAAAGCCAAUAAAAGUGCUUCGUUGGAUCUUUGUUCGAUGUCACAUUCGAUCUGUAUUGUGUACAUUACUUGCGAGAUGCCAGCAGUUGAGAAAGGAAGCCUCAUGCAGCCCAUGCUAGACCAUGAUAGAUGCAGGCAGACUGCUGGUUUCUUUGGAAAGGCUUUUAUUUUUCUGCCUGUCACUGACCAUCACAAACUUGUGAGCACGCGCACACUACAAAUUUUAAAUUUCUGCAACUCAAACUAGCAUCAGUAAGGUAGAUUCAGCUCAUAAAGCCGGUGUACCAUAUAACUCUGGACAACUUAAUGCUUCAGUUGCUAAAGAUAGCACUUGCACCAAGUUUAAUUUGGAGGAUGCAAAGCAUGCAUUCGGAAAUUGGUUGAUCAGUUAUAUCUUUUAUUUUGGGUUUUUAUUUUUACCGUUUACACUUAGAUUAGAUCAGAGUAUCAGACAACAUUUUGCUGUUUUGCUGGUCCAAAUAUAGAUUUUCUAUGAGUGAUCAGUUAUAUCUUUUAUUUUGGGUUUUUAUCUUUACGGUUUACACUUAGAUCAGAGUAUCAGACAAUAUUUUGCUAUUUUGCUGGUCCAAAUAUAGAUUUUGUAUGAGUCGUAGCUUGUAGGAAAACUAACUGGAGUUCAUAUCACAAUUCAUGUUGUGUCUACUCAGUAGGAAUAUUCAAAGUAACUAUGUUUUUGUCUUAUUGGAUAUCCAUGGAAGCAUCCUACUUUCUAUUAUCAUAAAAUUUGUCUUAAGAGAAGGUCCAGUUCAUAACAGAUAUUAAUAAUUCAUUUAGUUAGUUUGUAAGUAUGUUGCACCCUUACUUAGAGUUGUUGUUCUAACCUGACAGAUGCAUGCUCUGAACUAAUUCUUCUUGCCCCUCUGCUACUCCUAAUAACUAUAUGUUACAUCUUCUUUGUGUGAAACAUUUAUUUCUUAUUUUAGACUAUA
Molecule: long non-coding RNA, 1311 nt
Organism: Panicum virgatum (switchgrass)
Lineage: Eukaryota; Viridiplantae; Streptophyta; Magnoliopsida; Poales; Poaceae
Exons: 3
Source: RefSeq, a predicted model, not a curated record